Molecule: ribosomal RNA, 446 nt
Filed under: uncultured bacterium
Lineage: Bacteria
Description: bacterial SSU rRNA
Rfam family: Bacterial small subunit ribosomal RNA
Source: RNAcentral
UCCAGACUCCUACGGGAGGCAGCAGUGGGGAAUAUUGCACAAUGGGGGGAACCCUGAUGCAGCGACGCCGCGUGGGUGAAGGAGUAUUUCGGUAUGUAAAGCCCUAUCAGCAGGGAAGAACAAUGACGGUACCUGACUAAGAAGCACCGGCUAAAUACGUGCCAGCAGCCGCGGUAAUACGUAUGGUGCAAGCGUUAUCCGGAUUUACUGGUGUAAAGGGAGCGUAGACGGCAAUACAAGUCGGAAGUGAAAUACCCGGGCUCAACCUGGGAACUGCUUUGGAAACUGUUAAGCUAGAGUGCUGGAGAGGUAAGCGGAAUUCCUAGUGUAGCGGUGAAAUGCGUAGAUAUUAGGAAGAACACCAGUGGCGAAGGCGGCUUACUGGACAGUAACUGACGUUGAGGCUCGAAAGCGUGGGGAGCAAACAGGAUUAGAUACCCGUGUAU